UAGUGAGAGUAAAGUGUGCAGGUGCGCCCAGGGCGCUGAGAGUGGUGCGCUGGCCUGGGGUGUGCGCCUCGCUCCUCUCAAUGUCGGAGAGAGAGAUACAACCUUCCACCUCUGGGGAAUUCCGGUCCUUUGGGGCCGCAGAGUUCCGGGCGGCACAGGAUAUCCGAGACGGGCGGUGGCGACGUCUAACACGGGAGAGUCGUCCUCUCUCCGCUCCACCCCCCACGCCAGGGUAGUCCCUUCAGGGCGUGUAGUGUGCAGUCGUCAGGGUGCCAGCCUGCCGCGGACCCCGCCCUCCGUGGUGACCCGACUCCAAACUCGGAGACUUCUUUCUAAGAGCCACACCACCAACGUAACCUUGAGUCCUGGAGGUCAAUGGUGGGGUACCCCCGCCUCAAUUCUUUGACACCCGCCCCCCAUCGUGGCUAGGGCUGAGAGACUGCGAAGAAGAGGCCUGACCAUGGGUCCUUGCACGAGAUAACGUUUCAGGCUCACUCAGGCCCCUUCUCCACCCUCCCUCACCCCGCGCCAUCCCCGCAGUCUUGGUAGCCGGGGUUACUCCGGGCUGCUCGCUCGAAUUUAUUGGAACGCCGAGCCGGGACUGACCGGCGCGGGGAGAAUGGAGAGAAGGAGUGAGAGAGAGGGGGCUGCUGCCUGUGGGAACACCGGCUCUUCCAGGGAAGCGGAGCGGGACUGCCGCGUUCCCCUCGAUUUGCACCGUCACUCUGGCUGUUUGGAAGGAAGAGGGGAGGCGCUGUGCGUGCCUCCGUGUACCUGGAUCUGAGUGCAGAAGUGUGUAUGAAUGCCUCUGCCGCUGUGUGAGUUGUCAGGGCUUUGGGAGCGUCCGGAGCGAGUUCGGGGGUCACCUCCAAAAACUCGCAGAAACUGGAAGCGGGUGAGAGGAGGACACAUCCCCUUCGUAGGAAGGACUUGGAAUACUUUGAAUAUCCCCUCCCCCACUUUUCCGCCCCGGCUCUUCUUUUGUUGUCAAGUCCUUUUGAUAAAUGGUGGUGCUGGGAGCGCUGGGGAGCCUGGAGCCAGCCUGUACCCGCGCGGGGGCGGGGGCCGGGCCUGGAGACCCGGUUUCCACUCGUGCUCAGCCGGCCCUGAGCCCCGUAGGCGCGGAAGUCGGGUCUGGGACCUGCCCUCGGCGUGCUCGCCCUCUCCUCUCUCACCACCCCAUUCCUCUCUCCCUCAUUUUUGUCUCUGUCUCCCACUCCGAACAGGUUGGUAGACUUCAUGAGAUGGUAACCUGUCUAAAGAUAAUUUGGAGAAGAGGGGAGUGAGGCGCUGUGUAUAUGGGGAGUUUGUCGGUGUAUGUGAGCGUGUGUUUAGGUGUAAUAACACACCUAAAUUCGAGGGGCUUUGCAGUGUCUGCCUGUGCGACAACGGAGGAAGGUGAGUCCGUGAGACGGUGGUGAGGCCACAAGCGAGGUUGUGAAGGUUGUCUGAAUAAUCUUUGGGGAGCGAGUCCCAGGUGCCCGUUUCUGAGGACGGGACGGUUCUAAGCUGUCUCUGCAGGGCAGACACUGUGAGGCCGCCUGUAUCCUGCGGGUCUGUUGGUGUAUGUCUGUGUCAUUGGGUGCAUGGUUGUCGGUUGUUGGCCCAGAUCAACUGUGGAUCUCCCAGCCAUGGGACCCGUGUCGCAGCGGCCUCCCGGUGAGGCCCGGACACUGAAUGCUGGGGGCGUCGGCCAGAGAUGCAGGUGACCGCGGGCGUCCCUCCCUACCCCUCGCCCUGCAGUCUCCAGACUCAGUCCAUUCCCUCUCCUGUAAUUCCAGCAGCUUUCUUUUUACGCCCAGCGGCUGGGGGAACCAGAGACUGGCCCCAGCGUCCCCCGGAAUGGGCGUGCCGCGGUGUGGUCGCACACGCUCGCAGGCCUGCGCGGUGUAGCGCGGGCGUGGGUCUCAGUCCGCGUGCAUUCGCUCUUCACAAAAUCCGACUCCGAAGGUCCGAGCGCACGGGGGCGCCUAGGGGUCUGCGCGCCCGGGGUUUUUGGUAGGCGCCAGCGUCCGAGCCUGCCCAUCUCGAGGGGGAGGCCAAAUCCCCGGAGGCCGCGCAGGCCGUAGGGGUAAGGGAGUUAUUAAUUCCUAGGUCUAAUGCCGCCAACCCCCAGCGGCGACUGGCCUGGAUGUCCUGCGGAUUUUAUUUGCACACAAUGGAAAUGAUUUGUUUUCUCUAAAAAAGGAGUGGGCAUGGCAGAUAUUUGAGGAGGGGGUGGGAGGAGAAGGAAGGGGAGAGAGCUGAGGAAAAAAGUUUGAAAAUGCCUUGAACUAUUCACUGUCGAGAUGGCUAAUCAGUAUUGAGGCCGGAGGGCAGGCGGGCCGCCUUUCACCGCCGCUUCCCUUUCAUCUCGGGCUCGGCGGAGGCGCUCAAUUAAAAGCCUAUCAGUUUGUAAGUAAAUCAACGCCUAUCAGAGUUGUCACAUCAAACAAAACGAUUAUUAUUGCAGCCCGCCUCCCCUAUUAAUCUCCCUCGAAGAUAAUCCGCCUGACAGGUCAGGCCCGGCGAGCUGGAAAGCCUGGCCCAGAGCGCCCAAACAGUCCCGGACUGGCGCGCGCCCCUUGGGGCACCCCCUCCCUCCCUUCCGCCCCGCCUCGUGGUCCCCCGGGAGCUGGGAGAGAAAGGGCGAGCGGAGGCCGCUGGACCCAGGCCUGCCCCUCCGGACUGGGAGCCGGGCCCAGAUUCGAUGGGCUGGUGGGGGACGGUGCCGGGCGGCACUCGCCUCUUCUGGGACCGGGGGGGUACCAGGCUUGCCAGGACCACAGCCUGGCCUGGUCCCUGGGCCUCGCCAAGGCCUGCACUCUUCUCGGCUCGCUUCCCCUGGUUCUUCCCCACCCCCCCCACCCCCCCUACUCGUUUUUGUUUCCUCUCCCGCUUCUUCCUUGGCCCCCUACCCGUUUUCUUUCUUUCCCCCCUCUUCAUUUAUACUUUUCCUACUAGCCAGGGAAUAUUUCCUAUUCUCUUUUCCUUCUCUCACUAUACUGUAUAUACCACUUCAGCGCAACCACACUCGCUGAACAGGGCAUUCUCAGGGCCCGGGUUACUUCUCUGCGGCAGGGCUGCCUCAGGAGUGUGUGCAAUUCCCAGGAACUAAGGACCAAGUCCUUCCUAAUUUCUCCCCACGCAGGGGUUCUCAGAAGCUCUACGCCUGUUUAAGGGUUGGGUGCGUUUGGAGGGGUGAGAAAAAAAGAGAGACCAGGUCAGUGAGAUGGGUGGACGGUCGCAAGCUGCCUCUUCUGGAAUUAGUAUUUGAUCUUGGAAUUUCACAGCUGCAAAGUCACUGACCUAGCUGGUGGCAUUGCCUGGGCUUUGCAAAUAAGCAAGGGAGACCCACGAGGCAUCUGGGCCUCGGCCCUGAGUAUGUGAGGGGGUGCCUAACAUUUCAUAAGUAAAUACACCCAGAUAACUGCUUCUAUAGCCUCAACGGGCGUUCGGAGGCCCGGGUGGGGCCUGGAUUCCUCACGGGUGUGAAAUCGUGGCCUUCUUCCCGGUGGCCUCCGGCUUUGAGCUUUGGGAUGCUUCGGAAUCAAGCGCGAUCCACCCUUUUCUGCGCUCUUGCUCCAAACCGAUAGGCCCAAAUGGUCACAGCUCUGGCCUUGUGGAGCCGGGAUUGAGGGGUGGUUGAAGUGUCUGAGGGGGAGCGACUGCCCGCAGGAUCUCAGGCCUUAGUACCCUAAAUGCUGGGUUCAGCGCCUCGGAAAGUCUCCCUCUCAAUGUGUGUAGGGGGGAGAACCCUCAAGGUCCAGCAGUGUUGGCUGUCCGGGCCGAGCCUCUCCCAGUAGUCACGCCAGGGUCCGAGGCAGCAGAUAUGGAAUAGAGCCCACUUCAGAGUGCUCGGCGCCCGGAGCUGCAGAACCCGUGGCCCCUACCACGCAGUCCCGAAAGCCCCCCAUUUGUGUGCACUUUCCAUAGCCGACCUAGUAGGAAUAGUUAUUUCCUUACCCAGAAAUAUUGUAGCGGUGCAGUGGCUUAAUUAUCUGCGCGCCAGCUUUUCUUAAAUGUAUUUAUUUCACUUAUGCCACGCCGCGGAUAUUUAAAGAGGUACACAUACCGCACACCUCAACGAUGCGGAACUCACUCUGGCUAUAGGAUAUAUUUGCUGGGUGGUUAUUUGGACAUAAGUACUGUCUCGAGCCCAGAUUACACCCAAGCAGGGGCUGUAAAAUGACACUUGCUCUAGAAUUUUUCCAACUUAACUAUAUGUGCACACACUGAGAAUUUAAUAGUAUUUUAUAUCCCUCUACAUAUCUAAAUAUUCAGAUGUUAUGUUACAUGCCCUUGAAGCCGGAAGCAAUCUUCCGUUCACACUGGACGUGGAGCUGUUUGUAUAAUUUUCAUCUCCCUGCACUUACACAUGAAUCUUAAUCUAAUAAAUUCAACCUUGUCAUUUUUAGAAUCGACAUAAUUUCUCUGGCUGCGGGUUGCGCUGUCUGUAUCCGAAUAAAUCCAGCUCGCAUUCGUCCAGCAGGAAACGGCUCCCGGUUCCCGUGUACGGAGACGCAUCGGCCCAGCACGGGACGCGAGAUGGCUCCUCGUGCUCAUAAGGCGGCAGGUCUGGCCUCCGAGGGAGGCUGGACUAUCAGCGCGCUCAGGCCGAGCAGCCUCUCGCUGCCCGGCAGUGCCUGGCAGUCGCCCGCCUCUGCCUGUGCUUCGGGAACCCGCCGGGCCGAGUCCGUCCGGGGCGAAAACUGAAAGCAAAUUCCACGGCAGAUGAAGCUCGAACUUUCUACGAAGCAAGUUUGCAGCAAAGAUUCGGUGGUACCUUUGAGAGGACAGCGCGCGCAAAGUGGGGCGGUGGGCGAAGAGGGCACCGGAUGUCUGAGCUUGGUCCGCGGCGAAACGAGAGGGAAGGCGCCUCCCCUUCCUUAUUUCUCGCCAACUCCUCGGCCUCUGUCCGUAAAAAUAGUUUCCAAGGUGCCGCGGACUCCCAGGAUGUGGUUGUGGGAAUCGCACCAGGGAGGAGGCGGCUUUGUAAAAGUUGCAGAAAAAGCUUUACCCAGAAGCGUGCGUCCAGCCGGGCUCAAGAAAGCUUGGGACCAACUCGCCUUGCCCCGGGCAGAGGAGCCCCCUGGAGAGCCCCCUGCCCAGACCUCUCCCCUCACCUCGAAACCGCACGUAAAUAACCUCCCGCUGCCUGCCCCGCAAACUUCUCCGCGCGGUGCCGCGCUUGGCGGGCGAGGCCCGGACGCAGAGCCGGCCCGCAAGGCCGCUUGUCGGCCCACUCAACCCAGCCUUGAUACAGGCUUGCGCGGAUGUGAGAGGAUGAGUGUGGUUCCGGCUCCCACUUGGCUGCCCAGACCAUCACCGCCGGCCUCUCAGAGCAAGAGCUCCCCUCGGGAGCGGUGGUCUUGGGGGGCUGACGAGGGCGCAAAAGGCGCGCGCGGGGCCGCGGGGGGGGGGCGGCCGCCGGUCUCUCCACGGGGCCUGUCGCCGGGCCGGCCGCGGCGGGUGAGUGAUGAGGGCAGAGAAGGGCGCCCAUAAAUCGCGGGUGUCAGGGCGAAAAACUCUCUUUAUUGUCUGCGUGAUGGAUGGGCCCGGGGACGAGACACCAAAUACUUCGUAUCGCCUUUAAAUGGGAACACAUUUUCCGCGGCCAUAAUUCAUGUUUUUUAAAUAGAAAGUUUGAAAUGUUGCCUAUAUUUCACCGGCCCUGACAUAUUUAUGAAUCGCUCCCUGCAUGCAAAUAUCAUUAUUUAAAGCGCCGGGGAGAGCUCGAGGGAGGGAGGAGGCGCGGCCCCCGGGGCGUGGGGGUGGUGAACUGGGGAAACGCGAAUGGAGAGGGGGGAUAGGCGCCCUAAAGUGCGGACAAUGAGGCGCGGAGGAAAGCCGUAUCCGGCAGCCCAGCGCACCGGGGGCUCCCCUCCCACCGCCGGACCCCUCACAGCCGCUCGGGGAAGUUUGUGCGGUUUGGGGGUCCCACCCACUGCCAGGAGACCAGGGGGCAUUUUGCGUCCGUCUCCGAGGCUCUGAUCAGAGCCACCUUUUCCGAGAAGGAAGUAAAAAAAAUAAAAAUAAUUUAACAAACUCAAAUAAUAACAACC
Aethalodelphis obliquidens (Pacific white-sided dolphin) is the source of this 6044-nucleotide long non-coding RNA. RefSeq lists it as uncharacterized. The record is from RefSeq and is a predicted model, not a curated record. Lineage: Eukaryota; Metazoa; Chordata; Mammalia; Artiodactyla; Delphinidae. The transcript has 2 exons.